UGUUGCAAUUGGAGUCGAGUGGGAGCGACGUUAUCGAUAGUUUAGGUCGAUAGGGCGAUAGCUGCAGCAGCGGGAUGAGUCUGGCGGGCGAUCUGGCCAUUUGAAGAUUAAUCCCGGUUCGCUCUGGGAUUACUUCAAAUGGCCCAUGUAUCCAAUGACCCAAUGUCGAGAGAGGCCAUGUAAUAUGGCGGGGGGCGAUGAUCAGCAGAUAUCGUGAUAGUCGCGGCCAUACUGUCCAGCAAUCAAGGCAGAUGCAGCUAGGAGUUCUAGUAUAAAUUUUCUUUGUGCCUUAAAUUAAAUAGCAGCCGGGGUCCCAAUACAAAGGGCCCCGGAAGAAUUUAUUUGGAGUUUUACCGACAUCGCCAUACCUACCAGCCCGACUUGGCUGCCCUGCAACCGGUGUCCGUUCGACCGGUGCCAGCGACCAGCCAGGAAAGCCUUCCACAAUCGACGCCGACGACGUCAACAUUUCCCGGUGAGUCCGUUCCGGCGUACCGCGUCCUCAUCCUCUCGCGAACUUCCAGCGGUCGCAUUGCGGCGCUGAGAAGUAUCGCCAUUUUGUCUGGCAGCCGAAUCUCGGACUGCCCGUGCACCACUCACCGGAGAGCGCCGUUUUCCCGUGCGGAGAUCCGUAUCGCCGCUGGCCUCCGGCGGAAAGUCAUCAGCCCGGGCAAUCAUCGCCUCCAGGCCCGGCCCAACAGUGGCUGAAAAUUAGCAGAAAUUAAAUACACGUGUACAUCGAUUAUA
Drosophila suzukii is the source of this 747-nucleotide non-coding RNA. Lineage: Eukaryota; Metazoa; Arthropoda; Insecta; Diptera; Drosophilidae. The record is from RefSeq and is a predicted model, not a curated record.